Stomoxys calcitrans (stable fly) is the source of this 268-nucleotide long non-coding RNA. RefSeq lists it as uncharacterized. NCBI's taxonomy places the organism in Eukaryota, Metazoa, Arthropoda, Insecta, Diptera, Muscidae. The record is from RefSeq and is a predicted model, not a curated record. The transcript has 3 exons.
UUAUAUUGCUCCGUAAAAUUAUUAAUUAUUGUGAAAUAGAGAAAAACGGGGAAAAAUAGGAUAUGAACAAAUAGGAUGGACAAAUUCCAAACGCAACAAAUUGGAGGAAAUUUUAAUUAACCAUAUAGAGGUACAUUGACUUGAAAAAAGCCACUGAGGAUAAGAUAUGUGGAUCUAGAUUUCGUGGAACUGUACGCAAAAUGCUAAAAUUGAGCAUGCCUCUGACAAUGAAGAGCUUCAUUAUGGAAAGGACAAUUUUUCUUCUUUU